GAGGAGGCUCAGGGGAGACCUCCUCACUCUCUGCAACUCCCUGACAGGAGGGGGGAGCCAGGGGGGGUUGGUCUCUUUUCCCAGGCAACUCUCAGCAAGACAAGAGGGCUGGGUCUUCAGCUGUGCCAGGGGAGGGUUAGGUUGGAUAUUAGAAAGAAUUUCUUUCCAGAGAGGGUAAUCAGAUGUUGGAAUGGGCUGCCCAGGGAAGUGGUGGAUUCUCCAUCCCUGGAGGUUUUUAAGGUGAGACUGGAUGUGGCAUCAGUGCCAUGGGCUGGGAACCAUGGUGGGGUUGGAUCAAGGAUUGGACUUGAUGAUUUUGGAGGUCCCUUCCAACUCAGCUGAUUCUAUGAUUCUAUGAUUCUAUGAUUCUUUCAGACCGUGUGUAAGACUUUUGUGUGUGGCCAGUGUGUCGCAUCCCACAACCCUGCAGAGAGAUAUUUAAGCAUUUCCCUGUCAGCCUCACACACAAGAGGUGAAGGCAACAGUGACUUAUAUUGGACAUCGUGAAGUUACGGUAGAGGAAUUUCACGUGCAAAGAAAGGAGUGAAAAACAGGCAGAGCAGAGAGAAAACAUAUGAAGGUUUUUAGGUAAGAAAAUACUUUUCUAAAACAACAAAACUGCAGGUUUUAAAAUGUUUGAUACUCCUUACAGAAAAAAAAAAUCUGUCAGUUUUCUUUAGUAAAUUCUCGUAUGUUGUACCUUCACACUUCUUUUUCUCAUAGUUACUUACAAACAGGGAAGCAAAUCAUUUUUCCCGUAAUACUUAUGUUGUCCAUAGACAGUGGCUUACUUCCCUUCCACACAUACGUUCCAAAACUAUAGUUUCAAUCAAAUUUCACUAACUUCGUGCCAUGAUUGAAUAAGUUUUUUGUGAAUUCAUAAUUCACAUAUCUUUACAUUUGCAUUGCAGAGUUUUUUUAAGUGCACACCUUUAGGAGUGCACCAGUCUGAAACUAGAUUAGGAUUUUCAGCAGUGUUGCUCUCUUUGGCCUCUUCAGAGCUCCACACUCCCUUGCAUGAUGAAGGAUGUAGGACAUCCAAGAGAGUUUUCAGAGUGAGCAGAAUCUGCUCGUGGUGUCC
Molecule: long non-coding RNA, 1081 nt
Organism: Pseudopipra pipra
Lineage: Eukaryota; Metazoa; Chordata; Aves; Passeriformes; Pipridae
Exons: 3
Source: RefSeq, a predicted model, not a curated record